UGGGGAAUUUUGGACAAUGGGCGAAAGCCUGAUCCAGCAAUGCCGCGUGCAGGAUGAAGGCCCUCGGGUUGUAAACUGCUUUUGUACGGAACGAAAAGCCUGGGGCUAAUAUCCCCGGGUCAUGACGGUACCGUAAGAAUAAGCACCGGCUAACUACGUGCCAGCAGCCGCGGUAAUACGUAGGGUGCAAGCGUUAAUCGGAAUUACUGGGCGUAAAGCGUGCGCAGGCGGUUUUGUAAGACAGUGGUGAAAUCCCCGGGCUCAACCUGGGAACUGCCAUUGUGACUGCAAGGCUAGAGUGCGGCAGAGGGGGAUGGAAUUCCGCGUGUAGCAGUGAAAUGCGUAGAUAUGCGGAGGAACACCGAUGGCGAAGGCAAUCCCCUGGGCCUGCACUGACGCUCAUGCACGAAAGCGUGGGGAGCAAACA
RNAcentral lists this ribosomal RNA (427 nucleotides) under uncultured bacterium. RNAcentral's name for it is "bacterial SSU rRNA". It matches the Rfam family "Bacterial small subunit ribosomal RNA", at positions 355 to 774 of the family's 1533-position model. RNAcentral also lists the same sequence under 2 other names. The record is from RNAcentral.